UGCCCUUUUUUUCAUAAUAGUAAUUAUCAUAAUCGUAAGCUUCUGUAGAAUCUAAUACCUUUUUUCGUUUGCCAGCCAAUCCAAAAGGUCUUUCUUGAAUCUCAUGAUCCAAGCUGUCAGGAAUAUCCAACACUUCAGAAACGUAGUUGGCAUCAUCAGCAGGAAAUAGUCUGAGUACCGAGCUCCUAAGAACAAAUACCAAAGUACCAUAGGGGCGCUUAUCUUUCAGUUCUUCCUGACAUAGAAGACAAGUAUCAAUAGGUGGGUCCAAGAAUAACUUAGUGCUAACUGAACUGGUUACAGAAAAUUCAUCCGCUUCGUCCAUUUCACAGUCCGAUGCUUCAAAAAGAGCAUGAUUUUCUAAAAACUUAUUUUGCUGCAUUCGGAACUGUUCCAUUAUCCGUGCCUGUCGUUCCUUUGCCAUGCGCACCUUAGCUAAAUGUUGUUCCUGCUGUUCGGCAUCCGAUAACGACUGAACUAUUUUCGAAGAGGAUAUACUCAAAGUUUCGGCAUAUACAGGUUCAUACAAUAACGGAACUUCACUUUUUAAGAUUUUCAUUAUCAAAGAAAUCUUUUCUUUGACAUACACAAAGUUUCUGUGGUUUUUCAUUUGACACAAAACACUGAACAACGUAACAUCCGGAGAGUUGCAAUAUUCCUGUAAUCCCUCGACAACUGGAAAUCGAUUCUCACAUAUUUUUUUGGAAAAAAUAGGUUCAGAUCCUUUUUCACUCAUUAAAACUAGGAGACAUGCAUGUAAUGCAGUAUUAACCAAGCCUUCUAGUUUUCCUUGAUCGUAUGGAUAAAUAUAAGCGUAGACGAUAGUGUGCCAUAAAAUCCCAACAAAAGAAUCGCUUUGUAAUAUGGGAAUUGUAAUGUUCGAAUGCAAUAUCGGAUGAUAUUCCUCAUAUACUACAGAUUCCAAAUGUUUGGAAUGCUGUUUUGAAUACCGUCUACGUAAAAUAUUCUCUGCUUCCUCACGUUGAUUUCUAGAGUAAUGAAUAUUGAAUGGAUCUACAUAAUCAAAGUAUUCAUCUUUUAACGUGAAGGAACCACUAUCAUUGAUCCCCUCGGCAUUCCGAAAAGUAGCGACUUUCUUGAGAGUGCUUUCAAAUUGCUUGUGCUCCAAUAAAUGCUCACAUGUCCUUUUGGUAAUCUCGGAAUAAGGUAAAGGACGAAAACAAAGGAUAUGAGCGAUUCCAUAUUCUAUUCGUCUUGUAAUAUCCCAAUGGUCGAGGACAGCAGUAUUACAUACAAUGGAUAUUAAAAGCAGCAAAAACUCCUCCAUCAUUAUCGUGACUUGGGAUACAUCAUAAUGUUUAUGAGGUACAAAAAACCGACCAUACAUUUGAUCUUCUAAUUGAAAUCGAGAAAUAAAAGAAGGUAAGAUAGCAUCAGGAUCGCCAUAUGUUAAAGUUAAUUGAAGCAACAAAACGUCUAAAUCAAAAGUGUAUUCAUGAAAACUUAGAUUUCUAUAAUGGUGAGCUUGAUCACGU
Schizosaccharomyces pombe (fission yeast) is the source of this 1496-nucleotide non-coding RNA. The record is from the annotation of a GenBank genome assembly. NCBI's taxonomy places the organism in Eukaryota, Fungi, Ascomycota, Schizosaccharomycetes, Schizosaccharomycetales, Schizosaccharomycetaceae.